This 421-nucleotide ribosomal RNA is filed under the name uncultured cyanobacterium. Its description in RNAcentral is "bacterial SSU rRNA". It matches the Rfam family "Bacterial small subunit ribosomal RNA", at positions 359 to 795 of the family's 1533-position model. Lineage: Bacteria; Bacillati; Cyanobacteriota. The record is from RNAcentral.
GAAUUUUCCGCAAUGGGCGAAAGCCUGACGGAGCAACGCCGCGUGAGGGAUGAAGGCCUCUGGGCUGUAAACCUCUUUUCUCAAGGAAGAAGACCUGACGGUACUUGAGGAAUAAGCCACGGCUAAUUCCGUGCCAGCAGCCGCGGUAAUACGGGAGUGGCAAGCGUUAUCCGGAAUUAUUGGGCGUAAAGCGUCCGCAGGCGGCCUUGUAAGUCUGUUGUUAAAGCGUGGAGCUUAACUCCAUUUCAGCAAUGGAAACUUCAAGACUAGAGUGUGGUAGGGGCAGAGGGAAUUCCCGGUGUAGCGGUGAAAUGCGUAGAUAUCGGGAAGAACACCAGUGGCGAAGGCGCUCUGCUGGGCCAUAACUGACGCUCAUGGACGAAAGCCAGGGGAGCGAAAGGGAUUAGAUACCCCUGUAGUC